GCCCGGGUAGCUCAGUUGGUAGAGCAGCGGACUGAAAAUCCGCGUGUCGGUGGUUCAAGUCCGCCCCCGGGCACCA
RNAcentral lists this transfer RNA (76 nucleotides) under bacterium. RNAcentral describes it as "tRNA-Phe". It matches the Rfam family "tRNA". From Rfam's summary of the family: Transfer RNA (tRNA) molecules are approximately 80 nucleotides in length. Their secondary structure includes four short double-helical elements and three loops (D, anti-codon, and T loops). Further hydrogen bonds mediate the characteristic L-shaped molecular structure. tRNAs have two regions of fundamental functional importance: the anti-codon, which is responsible for specific mRNA codon recognition, and the 3' end, to which the tRNAs corresponding amino acid is attached (by aminoacyl-tRNA synthetases). tRNAs cope with the degeneracy of the genetic code in two manners: having more than one tRNA (with a specific anti-codon) for a particular amino acid; and 'wobble' base-pairing, i.e. permitting non-standard base-pairing at the 3rd anti-codon position. RNAcentral also lists the same sequence under 6 other names. The record is from RNAcentral.